UUGGAAACAUGGUUGAUGUGUCGUUCUCAGACAGAAGCAAUGUUACCAAUAUUGUGAAGCAAGCAGAGGAGUGGCUGAGGAGGAAUGAUAGAUCAGGGCUUCCAGGAAAGUAUAGGGUAUGACUCUACCAACAUGAACUGCUUCCUAGA
Octopus sinensis (East Asian common octopus) is the source of this 149-nucleotide long non-coding RNA. RefSeq lists it as uncharacterized. The transcript has 3 exons. NCBI's taxonomy places the organism in Eukaryota, Metazoa, Mollusca, Cephalopoda, Octopoda, Octopodidae. The record is from RefSeq and is a predicted model, not a curated record.